RNAcentral lists this ribosomal RNA (450 nucleotides) under uncultured Glomeromycotina. Its description in RNAcentral is "SSU rRNA". It matches the Rfam family "Eukaryotic small subunit ribosomal RNA", at positions 569 to 1021 of the family's 1831-position model. Lineage: Eukaryota; Fungi; Glomeromycota. The record is from RNAcentral.
AGCAGCCGCGGUAAUUCCAGCUCCAAUAGCGUAUAUUAAAGUUGUUGCAGUUAAAAAGCUCGUAGUUGAAUUUUGGAUUCUGCCAAUUGGUCCAUCUUUUAGAUGAGUACUGGUUGUGUGGGGUCUAUCCGCCUGGUGAUACGUAAUGUCCUUUAUUGGAUGUUGCGGGUAGUCAGGACCUUUACCUUGAAAAAAUUAGAGUGUUUAAAGCAGGCUUAUGCCGGAAUACAUUAGCAUGGAAUAAUAGAAUAGGACGAAGUUGUUUUAUUUUGUUGGUUUCUAGGACAACCGUAAUGAUUAAUAGGGAUAGUUGGGGGCAUUAGUAUUCAAUUGUCAGAGGUGAAAUUCUUGGAUUUAUUGAAGACUAACUACUGCGAAAGCAUUUGCCAAGGAUGUUUUCAUUAAUCAAGAACGAAAGUUAGGGGAUCGAAGACGAUCAGAUACCGUCGU